GAAAUGCGAUAAGUAGUGUGAAUUGCAGAAUUCAGUGAAUCAUCGAAUCUUUGAACGCACAUUGCGCCCCUUGGUAUUCCAUGGGGCAUGCCUGUUCGAGCGUCAUUUGUACCCUCAAGCUCUGCUUGGUGUUGGGUGUUUGUCCCCGUCUCCGCGCGUGGACUCGCCCCAAAGUGAUUGGCUGCCGGCGUACUGGUCCCGGAGCGCAGCACAUGUCGCGCAAACGAGUGCCUUGGUACGGCGGCGUCCAUAAGCCCCUCUCUCACGCUCUUGACCUCGGAUCAGGUAGGGAUACCCGCUGAACUUAAGC
Molecule: unclassified non-coding RNA, 310 nt
Filed under: plant metagenome
Description: partial contains 5.8S ribosomal RNA, internal transcribed spacer 2, and large subunit ribosomal RNA
Rfam family: 5.8S ribosomal RNA (bases 1-105)
Source: RNAcentral